Molecule: non-coding RNA, 387 nt
Filed under: Vibrio nereis
Lineage: Bacteria; Pseudomonadati; Pseudomonadota; Gammaproteobacteria; Vibrionales; Vibrionaceae
Source: RNAcentral
AAGACCCACGGAUUGGUCAUCUUCAGGAAGAAGAUUCGAUUGUUUAGGAUGAACAAUUGGCAUGGAAAGCAAAGGACAUUGGCUUGGACGCUAGUAACUAGGAUGGUUGCGCAAGGACAGACAAUGGACGCUUAACGGACUAAGGCAAUUUCUGUCAGGGUGACGGAAUCAGGGACACCGCUUAAGGAUAAAGCGAUGAGAGUUAACUGGGAUAGUUAACGGGCUGGAUUGCCAAGGACACCGCUAGGACGGCGAUGGUAAGGAAAGAGCUGAAGGAUUCAGUGUACUAUCAAGGAAUAGAUGCAGGGAGCACCUAUUAGUAGCCGGAUUGCUGCGAGUAAAGAUUAAACCCCACUAGGCGAGAGCUUAGUGGGGUUUUCUUUUUGU